GAAAAUUUUACUCUAGCUGCCAUUUUGUAAGUGGUGAGAAAAAGGUGAAGAAAUCUUGGAUUAUGCCUUUAUCAACACGUUAAAGAUUUAAGAGUUGUUUUAGCCGUGUAACAAAAUGGUUCUUGAAUGACUUUGUGUGUGCGCGCGCCUGAAGGUGCGUAUUGGCGCAUGGGGAGUUUUACAUCAGUGUAGCAGGUUAGCCUUCCAUUAACCUUUUUAUCCGUUUAGGAGCAACGGUAAGGCAGCCAUUUUGUGGUUUUAUUUUUAUCCAGUUUUUGACGAUUUUGUAAUAAGGGAAAUGGGAAUAAUUGUAUAUGGUCAGUGAAAAGUGAAGAUGUUCCUUUUUUGUUUUGUUUGUUUGUGUAGCUACAGUGAGUGGGCACAGAUAAGUUCCAGUGUUCAGCCUAUGUGUUUUGCAGUUUAGCACCUGUGGACAAAGUACAGGCACAAAAGGCCAACGAUCAUUGUAACUUUUUUUUGUUUGUUUUGCUUUUUAUUUCCAAACAGCCAAUGUCGUAUUGUGUACCCUAGCUUCUGUGUACUAAAUACAUACAAGUGUAUGAGUACAGCUGGACGUUAAAAAAUAAAUACAUGGUUUCAAUUGACGUGCCUGGGUUCCUUUUACUCAUAUGUAAAAGGAGUGACCCACUAGGGCCUCAAAUAUUCACAGGCCACAGCAUUAUCAAUUAUUUAUUUUUAUUUAUGUAGGGACCCUAAAAAGGGAAAGGAACCCCGUAUUGUUUGUGUAUUAUUUUUAGUUGUUGUUUAUUAUUAUUGUUGUUGUUAUAAUUAUUGUUAUAAUUAUUGUUAUAAUUAUUGUUAUUAUUAUUAUACUGGGUAAAUACUCUACUUCCCAGAACUCUUCGAGUUUCGCGCCAGUUUUCUUGCUGGCUCGGCCGGUCUCUCACCAAGGCGAGCAAUCAGAUGGCUGCUAGGCUUGAGCGACAUUGUCGCUGACCUAUCCGUGAUUAGGAGGAGGGACUAGACUGGGACGUUUGGGAAGGUUUUUGGGCUGGAAUGAGAGAAUGAGAGAGAUGCAAUGUACCCCAGAAGUUGCGGUUGUCGGAGACUCAAUAUACGCUGUAUAUAGGCCAAAACUAACUACUCCCCUUGGCUUUAAAGUCUAACGGUGUUUGUUAGCGUGAAAGUAUAUUCUCUGCUGUGCCUUUGUUUCGGUUCUGUGACGAGUUAGCCGUAUUCGGUUGAAGAGCUAACUACAGCUCCAGGCUAUACCACUGAACUGGCUACUUCUCAGCGAAGAAAACUGAAUUCUCCACCCUGCUGCUUGUGUGGAUGUACAAGGAGGACCAGAGUCUUAACAAAAAUCAUCGCAUUUAUGUCGUGUGAGAAGCUGAGAAAAGACGCAAAUAGCUGCACGUUGCGGACGCUAUGGCUCAUAUCUAUAGGUGUCAGGGACUCGUGAGUACCGGACCAAGCAGCUCCGUCUUUCUCAAAUACUUCGUUCGGCAUUCUUCAAAUGUACCAACGUUUUGGGCCCUAACGAGUUAUAAUACAAACGCUUGUGAACAUCCACGUGCUAAACUGGACAUGGCCCAAUUCUGGUUCACGGUUGCAUUUGCUGUAGUGACUAUUUAUUAUUGAGCGUUUCAUUUGCUAAUUUUCCGUGUUUAUUCAGUUGACUAAUUUAAAACCGAAGCCUCGGAGGGUAAGAUAAAUAUUAGUAUUGGUGUAUUGUUUUGCAUGUUGCUUCUUUUUGUUGUUUUCCCCCGCCACUUGUGACGUUAAUAUGUAACUGCAUUGCUCAGUCAUACGUUGAAUCGGUUUUAGUUGUGUGUGACUUGCUUCUGUUAUUUCGCCAUUGCUUUCCUUUGUGCAGAAAUAUAUGUGCAUUUUUUAUAUUAAGUGUCGUUUGGGGUAUUUACUAACCCGUGAGUCAUUCUGGUCACUAAGCACGAGGGGUUUAAAAGGUUUUAUUACUAUCAACAUAAUUAAAGUAGACACAUUUUUGGAGGCUCCGCGCUAACUUACAUUGAUCUAACACGAAAUGAUACGUUCCCCCUAUUUGAUGAGGGUCCCUUUAGGGAGGGGUUACAUUUAUAUCAUUCACAUCACUAUUCCUUUUCACAUUUGUUAUCUACUGUUAAUGUCAUUGUUGUCUCAACCAGAGAGGCAUGUUACCAUUUUGUGGAGUUGGUUCCUCUUGAUGUUGUUACUCUCUGCAUCAGGGAGUUUUUACACACCACUGUUGCCUCUGGCUUGCUCUAUUGGGGCUAGGACCUGGACGUAUGUAAAUCUGCUUUGUGACCAACAGCUGUUGUAAAAAGUACUAUUAUAAAUAAACUUUUGCUUUGCUCUUCCCAAAUUUUCAAACCAUGGCCAAUGUCUUAUGCCAUGGUGGAAACAGAGCUCCAGUAUCUCCUCAGAGACAAAAUCAUAGAAACAAUUAAGUUCUGAGAGUGGGCAGCUCCAAAACAACCUAUUGUCACACAUGUGGGAGCUGUAUCUGCAGGAAUUAUAAAUCAUUAAGAAUGCCUCCAACCUCAAACAGUUCCCAAUCCCAAAGAUUGAGGAUCUGCUAUCUGAUCUAGCCGGAGCAAAAAGUAGAAUAUGAGCCAGGCAUACCAACAAAUUGUGUCGGAGGAUAAGGAUGCUGAAAUUAUGUAACAGUGAACACAUGAGCCUGUACACCUACUGUCAUUUAGCAGUUGGUGUGUCUUUUAGCCCCACCUUAUUUCGGGGAACCAUGGACAUACUGGGGGAAAAACUGAAGCCAAAAACCAACAAAGUAGAUGAAGUGCUGAACAGAUUGGGAGAGUGGCCUCAUGCUCAAUAGACGUGAGUGCAGUUUCUUAAAAAAGUGAUGUUUUAACAUAGCUGGCCGUGUGAGGGAGUGAGAGCAUUGUUACAAGGCUGAGCCAUAAUGACAAAGGUACAAUUAAGGCAAACCAGUCUCAAAGUCCAGCAAAACAAACAAAGGCAGAAUUCAGAAAUGUACAACUCGAUAGCCAGUGAGCACCAGGCUGCCAUACUUCACAAUAGUAGGCACUUCUGUGUCCCAUAAUCUGUGUGACGGCACACCCGGACUGGCCCAUAAACCGAACUCGGUGGAGCAGCAGGCAUAAAUGGUCAGGAGCUAGAGCAUUCAGAGAGAAACACAACACAUACAUAUUGGAGCCUAGGAAAGUGCCUAUAGAGGAGCCGGUCUCCACUGCUCUGCAUUGUGUAUUUGAGGGCGUACUCAGGAUACUUGAGUGCUAGUACUAACCACAGAUGUUACAGAAUGCUCUGGAUGAAUAAAACAAAUGUACUGGGAAAGCUAGAUCAAAGCCCCUCUCUGUCUGGAUUUUGCCUCUUUCUUCAGCCAUCUAGCAAAUUGGUUGGAUGUAUUUAUGUAUAGUAUUUGUAUGUAUAGUGCAAUUGUUUUUAUUAUUUAUUUUUUUAGAUGAAUAGUCAUUGUAAAAUUGCUUUAGGAUACUCUGUGGGGUUAAUAAUGAUCAUAGUUUGAAAAUAUUGCUGGCUGAACUGCAUUUGACUUGAGAAAAUAUUGAAACAGACGGAGUUAUGGAGUCAGCUAACAGAAAUGUGGAAGACUUGCAGGGACUGGAGGAGGGAAGUUACCUAUGAUAAACUACCAUUUCUAUCACAUGAUGUCUGAUCACAAAUAUGGAUCUGGUGUGCCUUAGGUGCAAAAGUUCUUAUUCAGCAGUGGAGUACAUCAGCACUAUAAAGGAUGUGGUAAGAGGGGUCACAUUAUGCAGGCAUGACCCAGCACAGUUAGUGUGGAGCCAGACCAUUCUAAAAAAAGGACCUGGGCUCUUUGGAAUAUCUUUGGAAUACAAUAUGAAUAGUAUUUCUCAAAAAAGUGCAUACAAAACCACAAAUUACUAUAAAAGUGAUUCCAGUGCAUCAAAUCAUAUUACAUGCUCAAUUAACAAGUGCAAAUUGUAACUCAACUUCCACUGCAAAUUAAAAAUGUUAUGUAUAGAAAAAGAUACUAAGGCACACGUACAUGAAAUAUCCCUUGACAAUGUAGCCAGAUUGCAAGCCUUGUAUUUAGUGUUCUGUUCAGAUUUUUAAUGCAUAAUUUUUUAGGUAAAUGGUUUCAAGACAUAAGAACCAAUAAAAAAACUUUUAACUUACUAAAGCAGUAUAAAACAUAUCUGGGUGAAUAAAUCAGAUGCAUUGAUAGAUGCACAAAGUCUGUUAAGCUAUCUGCAAGCACCUCUCAAAACAGUCCCACUUAGACCUGCUGGGUAUGCAUCUCAUCUGGUCCAGUCAAGCUCACCUGAUUUUUAACAUGCCACAUCUGAUCAUCAACUCCCUUCCUAUCAGACCAAGCUUUCAGCCUAACUCUUCCCAGAGCUUCCCAGACUGUUCAGCUGUAUAAACCCUGGACUGCAUUGACUUCGUUCUGGACAACUCACUGAUAGUCCUUACAUGGUCAACAUUCAAGCAGCCAGUUCUGCAAACCAAUAAAGACCUCAUGCAAUUGGA
Long non-coding RNA from Electrophorus electricus (electric eel), 4455 nucleotides. RefSeq lists it as uncharacterized. NCBI's taxonomy places the organism in Eukaryota, Metazoa, Chordata, Actinopteri, Gymnotiformes, Gymnotidae. The record is from RefSeq and is a predicted model, not a curated record.